AAAUGUUUAGCAAGUGACAUGAACGAAUGGGUAGAGAACCUAGCAUAAAGGUGGCAUGGUAACUAAUGACUAAGCAUCCUCAAGUUGGGGAUUCGAUCGAUACUCAUGAUACGUCUUGGCUUGAGGGUGGUAGCUCCCCCUCAAGCGGUGAGUUUUCGAAAAUAGUCACCUUGGGAGCGAGGUCCCUUAUGACGGUCCCUAGCGGUGGUUCGAGGCCCCCUGUUAUGACUGGAUUUGAGUUAUGAGUUAUUGGGGUUAACAAAGUUAACCGGCAAGAUUGGGUAAGAGCCAAAGCUUAUUUAUGAUCCGAGCAUGCAUGCAUUUCCAUUAUCGCAUUGAAUUAUAUAUCUGUUGACCUCUUUCUUGCAGGCGUAGUAUUAGUUGCAUUAGUAGUGGUUACUUUCCCUCCUUUGAAAUAUUUAUGCCUGGAUAGACCUAGUGGGUAAGUCGGCGAGGUCGGAUGCCGAGCCCACUGGGAGCUUUGUUUAGUUCUCACACCACUAACCCUACAGGUCCUAGCACGAGCGGGGCGGCGGAGGACCGAGGCAAGAGUAUUGCGCCGUAAGUAGCGGUCACCGGGACUCUUUAUAUUUUAUAGUCAUUCCCUUUUGGUGUACAUGUAUCAACUUCACCUUGUUGAUUUAGAGAUGUAAAGUGUGAACAAUCAUGUAUUUGGUGGAUGACUAAAUAUAAAAGAUAUGAUGGAUGAAUGGAAUGUAAUAGCUUAGCUUACUUGAAUUUGGUUUAAAUGCAAUCAAAUAUCAUGUAUGUUGUAUAUUUAGCUUAGAGCUUUCGCUUCCGUUGUUGCUUGCCCUCGUGCAAGCCUUGUAUUAUAUAUGCAAAUCUCUUGUUGAUUGCUUAUUUAUACAUGUGGUUGGAGCCUUGGGCGGACAGAGGAGGCUCUGUCCGUUCGGCAUCUGUAGACGUGACCCGAACCUGACCAAAUUGGCGGGGAUUGGGACGUGACAGAUAUAAUGGUAUCAGAGCAAAUGGAAGGAAAGCAAAAGUCUAGGAAUGACCUAGAAACCCUAGGAAAUUAGAGACCUUAGGAGUUUAGGAAACGUUUAACGUGGACUUGGUUUAUGCGAAAGAGAAUGAUUGGGUCAGUGGUAACACUUCUCUAGAAGGAAGUAGAGAUGGACUAGGAGGCUUAAUUGUUGUCUACUUAAAGGACCUUGUGGGACUGCCGACCACAUAACACCGAGAGUGGAAAUAAUUAGGCUUGUGCUUUCGCUUAAUUGGGUAGCUACUUGGAACGUGUAUGAGUCACGUGUGUCGAGUGCUAAUGUGUGUGCAUUGCGUUGCAGGACACGAUGGCACCACCAAGGAGAGUUACGAGGUCCACACCGGCGGAGCCUCGGGAGGAGCCCGGGCAGUCGGGGUCGGACGAAGUACGCGAGUUGCGAGCCCAGGUAGCGGCUUUGGCCGGGGCUAUGCGACAACAAGGGGAGCAGAUUGGACAGCUCCACGAAAUGAUGGCGCAACAGGCGGCGGCUGCAUCAGUGCCGAGGGAUCCACCCCCAUCGGCUGCUCCUAUAGCACCACCUCCUGCGGUGGCGGCGGCGCCAGUGACGAUGGUUCCUCCGACGGCAUCGGGUUCAUCGGCCCCUAUUCCCGAUGUGCUUGAGGCCGAGCGGGAGCGUACAUUGGCGGCGCUAACGGCAUUGAAGCGGUUCAACCCUCCGACCUUCAACGACGAUGUGAAGGAUCCGUGGGUGACAGAGAAUUGGUUGGCCGCGAUGGAGGCGUUGUUCGAGGAUAUCUAUACCCUCGAGAAGGAUAAAGUUCACCUGGCAGCUCAUUAUUUCAAUGGGUCGGCUCGGUUGUGGUGGAAUCAAGCGAAGAAAAAUCGCUCGCUAGGACACGCUCUUCUCACUUGGAAGGCGUUUCGGGAGAUGCUGCUUAUGGAGUAUUUCCCCGAGAGCGACAAAAGGAAAAUCAAGGAGGAUUUUCGAAAGCUAAGGCAAGGAAGCCGAACGGUGCGGGAGUACGAAAGGGAAUUCACGCACAUGAUUAACUGCGUGCCGAACUUGGUUCACGGCGAUAGGACCGAGCGGAGGUGUUUGAGCGUGGGUUGCGACCCAAGAUUUUCAAGGUCAUUCAUGCAUUCCGCCUAAAGACCUAUGAGGAGGUUCUUGACCGCGCGCUUUUGGUGUAGCGCGAAAAUGCCAUUGCGCGGGAUGAGCGCGAGACAUUGGAUAAGGAUAGGGAAAGGGAGAAAACCAAGAAGCGACCUGCUGGUGGGUCGGCGGGGGCAAUCAAGUUCUAAGCGACCCCCGGGACCUCAGCGAUCACAGUGGCGGGGUGGAAAGAGCCAGAGGACCUACCCGUGCGUGAUAUGUGGCGGAGACCAUCGAGUUACUGCUUGCCCACAGCGGGAGGGGCGAUGUUACCGAUGCGGUCAACCGGGACACUUCGGUCGAGAAUGCCCGGGCGGCGCAUCCCCAGCCCCGUUAUCAGCCUCGGUUCAGUAUACUCAGCGACAGCUGGCGGGACUGCCACCCGCGGUAUCUGCUGGACAUUCGUCGGUGCCUCCUCAGCCGGAGGCCUCUCGAGCACCUAGUGGGCGGAUAUUUGCCACUCAGGUGGAGGAGCCACCAAUCAUCGUUCCCGACGACGUCGUGGCAGGUAUUAUUCUUAUCAGAGGUACUAGAGCUAGAGCUAUAUUCGAUAUAGGUGCAUCUCAAUCAUUCAUAACAGCAUCAUUUGCACUAGCUCAUGACAUAGAGGUCACGCACUUUGAGGAUUAUUGGACGGUGACAGCACCUGGACUUACGUUUCACGUGCACGAUGAAUGUUUAGACUGUCCAGUACAGAUAGGCGAUUGGAUCAUGCCGAUCGACUUGUUAGUGCUGAAGCAAUUGUGGGGAUUUGACGUAAUCUUGGGCACCAAUUGGCUCUCCAAGUAUUACGCGGUUAUCGAUUGUGAAAGAAAAGUUAUCACUUUUCGUGAGCCCAACCAAGAGGAGAUGGUCUAUAAGGCGUGUAAUGGUGCGCGUUUCGCGGCGACCAUAUCGUCAGUAAGGGCGAAGAAAAUGAUCAGGGGUGGUUACAAGGCCUACUUGGCGACCUUCGUGGACCCUCAAGAGGGAUAUCCGGAAUUAGAAAAUAUCCGAGUCGUAUGCAAGUAUCCGGAUGUAUUUCCAGCGGAGUAACCGGGACUGCCACAGGACCGGGAAGUCGAGUUUGUCAUUGACUUGAUUCCUGGGGCAGCGCCAGUUUCGAAGGCUCCGUACAGAAUGGCACCGGUAGAGUUAAAGGAGCUAAAAGCCUAGUUGCAAGACUUGCUCGAUAAAGGCUUCGUACGGCCGAGCGUGUCUCCGUGGGGAGCUCCGGUGCUAUUCGUAAAGAAGAAAGACGGCACACUCCGACUCUGCGUUGACUAUCGCGAGUUGAAUAGAGUGACGAUCAAGAACAAAUACCCAUUGCCAAGGAUUGAUGAUCUAUUCGAUCAGUUGCAAGGGUCAAGGGUAUAUUCUAAGAUUGAUCUGCAGUCGGGGUAUCAUCAAUUGAAGAUACGGCCCAAGGAUGUGCACAAAACGGCGUACCGUACGCGGUAUGGCCAUUAUGAGUUCACGGUAAUGCCGUUUGGGCUUACUAAUGCCCCGGCGGCAUUUAUGGACUUGAUGAAUAGAGUCUUCCGUCCGCUAUUGGACCGGUGCGUCGUGGUGUUCAUUGACGACGUAUUGGUAUAUUCUCGGACCGAAGAAGAACACGAAGAACAUUUAAAGCUCGUGUUGGAGAUACUCCGGAAGGAAAAGCUUUACGCAAAACUAAAGAAAUGUGAGUUUUGGCUUUCGGAGGUUACUUUCUUCGGUCACGUUGUAUUCGGAGACGGUAUCUCGGUAGACCUAAAGAAAGUGGAGGUAAUCAAAGAUUAGCCUCGCUCGACAAGCAUAGCGGAAAUUCGUAGCUUCCUUGGACUUGCGGGCUAUUACCGGCGGUUCGUGGAGGGGUUUGCUAAGAUAACAACUCCACUAACGCGCCUUACGCACAAAGGGGUGAAGUAUGUUUGGAGCCUCGAGUGUGAACGGAGCUUUGAGGAGCUAAAGAAUAGACUGACGUCUACUCCGGUGCUUGCUUUGCCGACGCCGGGAGAGAGUUAUGUCAUGUACAGUGAUGCCUCAUAUGUCGGACUCGGGUGUGUUUUGAUGCAAAACGGCCGAGUCAUAGCUUAUGCUUCGCGCCAAUUGAAGAGUUAUGAAAAGAACUACCCGACUCAUGAUCUUGAGCUAGCGGCGAUCAUAUUCGCGCUAAAAUUGUGGAGGCAUUACUUGUAUGGGGAACAUUGUGAGAUCUACAUCGAUCAUAAGAGUCUCAAGUACUUGUUCACCCAAAAGGAGCUAAACUUACGACAGCGGCGGUGGUUGGAGUUGCUUAAAGAUUACGAUGUCACGAUUCUCUACCACCCCGGGAAAGUGAACGUCGUGGCCGAUGCUCUAAGUAGAAAGUCGGCGGAGAAUUUGGCGACGGAAGUUACACCUCAACCGGCUUUGCAAAAGGAGAUGUAGCGGUUUGGUCUAGAGGUUGUGGCGCCGGGAGUGCGGGCAACGCUUGCCACCCUGGUUGUGCAACCAACCUUGUUGGAGAAGAUUAAAGGGUCACAAGCGUCAGAUGAAUUUCUACAAAAGAUGCGGAGCAAAGUUGAGAGUGGUAGUGCCGAUGAUUUCGGCAUUGGAACCGACGGCACACUACGAUAUCGAGAUCGUUGGUGCGUACCCAAGGACGACGACCUUCGGAAGGCGAUUAUGCAGGAAGCGCAUCAAUCUCCCUACAGCAUACACCCGGGCGGCACCAAAAUAUAUCGAGACCUGAAAUUGCAUUAUUGGUGGCCGGGCAUGAAGAAGGAUAUAGGAGAGUUCGUAGCGCAGUGUCUCACGUGCCAACAAGUUAAGGCGGAACGUCGAUUUUCGGCUGGAAAGUUACAAAAUCUACCAAUACCCGUGUGGAAAUGGGAAAAUAUCGCAAUGGACUUUGUGACGGGUUUGCCUAGAUCCCAAGGUGGACAUGAUGCGAUUUGGGUAGUUGUGGACCGGUUGACAAAAUCGGCACACUUUUUGCCGAUCCACACUACUUGGUCGGGAGACAAGUUAGCUCAAGUCUAUGUUGAUGAGGUGGUGAGACUUCACGAGGUUCCGGUAUCUAUUGUAUCGGAUCGGGACCCUAGGUUCACCUCUCAUUUUUGGAAGAGCUUGCAAGACGCAUUGGGCACGCGGCUCGACUUUAGUACAGCAUUCUAUCCUCAAAGUGACGGUCAAUCGGAGAGGACGAUUCAAAUACUUGAGGACAUGCUUCGAGCGUGUAUACUUGAUUAUAAGGGCGGAUGGCACGAUCACUUACCGAUGGCGGAAUUUGCAUACAACAGUAGUUACCAAGAAAGCAUUGCGAUGGCGCCAUUCAAGGCCCUGUAUCGAAGGAAAUGUCGCUCGCCAAUACAUUGGAGCGAUGUGGGCGAGAAGAUGGUUCUUGGCCCGGAUGUAGUGCGGGAGGCGGAGGAGAAGGUCUGCCUUGCCCAACAAAGAUUAGCGACAACGCAAUCGAGGCACAAGAGUUAUGCCGACAAGCGGCGAAAGGAUAUCGAGUUCGUGGAUGGAGACCGCGUAUUUCUAAAAGUGUCGCCGAUGCGAGGAGUUAAGCGAUUCGGUGUUCGCGGGAAGCUAAGUCCCCGCUAUAUCGGACCCUUCGAGAUUUUGGAACGAGUUGGUGCGGUGGCCUACAGGCUGGCAUUACCACCUAGCCUUGCGGGAGUACAUGAUGUGUUCCAUGUAUCCCAACUCUGCAAGUAUGUUUACGACCCGGAUCAUAUUCUCUCGUAUAUACCGAUAGAGCUCCAAGAGGAUAUGACCUACGAAGAGUUCUCGGCUUAUAUCGCAGAUCGGGAAGUGAGGAAACUACGAAAUCGCGAAAUUCCGUAUGUUAAAAUUCAUUGGAGUGAGCACGACGAUCGGGAAGAAACUUGGGGACUCGAGACCGAGAUGCAAGAGCGCGAUCCUCAUCUCUUCGACGAGUUGAAUUCAGGUAUGGAUUCCGAAUAAAUAGUUUCGCGGACGAAACUAAGUUUUAGGGGUGGAGAAUGUAACGUACCACGUUUCUCGUAACCCGUGCCGAGUUUCGUCAAAACGAGCGGAACGCGGAGUGGAACGAGUUAGAGUGGACCCUAAGUGCAUUAGAGUCCAUAAGUGAAGCUAAAGGGACCCGAGAGAGAGCAAAUCUGGAAAUCUGGCUAAGUCCCAGAUUUUGAGCUCUCGGGGACCGGUCCCUGAAGGAGAGACCGGUCCCCGUGCGCGUAGCCUGCCAGAAAAUCCUGAGGCAUCCGGUCCCUGGUGGUGAGACCGGUCCUCAAGAGACCGGUCCUGGAAGGGGCAGACCGGUCCCCCGCUGCACAGCAGUUGAAAAACCCGAAAAUUUGGCUAAGUCCUGGAAACCCAUCGUUCGGGAACCGGUCCCUGGUCGGGGAGACCGGUCCCCGAAGGCGAAAAAUGCCCAGUUUGGGCAGUUCAAUGGAAAACAAGUGGAGGGGCUUAAGUGCAAUUAUUACAACACUACAUAUGGUCCAACCCCUCUCUCCCACAGCCAUUUCUCUCCCCUUCUCUCAUUUCUUCUCUUUCUCUCUCUAGAACUCCUCUCGUGCUUGGAGAAGAAGAAGGAGAACUUGGAGAAGAAGGUGGAUUUGGUGCUUUGGAGGUUCUAGGAGCUCUCCAACAAGAAGAAUCUUGGUAGAGCUUGGACUAGAGGUAAGUUUUGUAAGUUUUUCCUCUAGGGUUUGGAUUUUGACUUAGGGAUUUGAAGCUUUGUGCUCCUUAGAGACUUUAGAGGCUCUUUUGAGCCAUGAAUGCCAUGGUACCCAUGGGAGCUCAAGGUGCUCUCAUGGUGAACCCUUGGAAGUUGUAUUAGGAGCCCUAGGGUUGGUUCCAAAGACCUAGAAACCUUAGUAGGAUGCUUCUUAGAUAAUCCUAAGCUAUUGUUUGCUUAGGGUUGGGAUCGAUUCAAGGGGGAACCCUAAAUGACAUAGUUAGGGCUUGAAAGUUGGGGCUUUUGCACUAGAAUUUUUCGGGGACGAAUUGAUCCCUAGAAACCUAAUUGGAGGUGCCCUAAACACGUGGGACAACUCCGUUCGACGAAACGAAAUUGUUAGAGUAUGGUUUAUAUACAAUGGGCCUGAUUUGGCUCUAUUUUGGGGUUGUAGGUUGAAGAGUGGCGAUCAGUUGAGCGUGGGAACCAUCGAAAUAGCUUUCCUAAACCUCACAGGUGAGGGGUGCACGCCGGAAUCGUUGGAUUCCCCUCUAUGUCUAUUUCUCUAUUUUUGAACAUAUGUUGUUUAGUCACUCAUGCAUAUUAGGGUUAAUUUACAUAUGAACUUUGGUUGUAUCAUUAUGUUUUCUCUAAUGUAUUAGAAAGUAGAAAGAUACGGAACCAUGAUGGACAUGUAUUGUUGGACCCUAACGAUUGCAUGAUUGUGAGACUUGGACUUAGCAAUAGUAAAUACUUGUGACAUUGACAAUAGAGAAAUAGAUUAGCACUGACAAGUAAGUGUUAAACAUAGGUUUAACCAUAGUGACAUUGUGACAAAAAUGUUUAGCAAGUGACAUGAACGAAUGGGUAGAGAACCUAGCAUAAAGGUGGCAUGGUAACUAAUGGCUAAGCAUCCUCAAGUUGGGGAUUCGAUCGAUACUCAUAAUACGUCUUGGCUUGAGGGUGGUAGCUCCCCCUCAAGCGGUGAGUUUCCGAAAAUAGUCACCUUGGGAGCGAGGUCCCUUAUGACGGUCCCUAGGGGUGGUUCGAGGCCCCCUGUUAUGACGAGAUUUGGGUUAUGAGUUAUUGGGGUUAACAAAGUUAACCGACAAGAUUGGGUAAGAGCCAAAACUUAUUUAUGAUUGGAGCAUGCAUGCAUUUCCAUUAUCGCAUUGAAUUAUAUAUCUGUUGAC
This 7925-nucleotide long non-coding RNA is filed under the name Ananas comosus (pineapple). RNAcentral describes it as "long non-coding RNA (ACOM_LNC039715)". Lineage: Eukaryota; Viridiplantae; Streptophyta; Magnoliopsida; Poales; Bromeliaceae. The record is from RNAcentral.